Long non-coding RNA from Capsicum annuum, 1442 nucleotides. RefSeq lists it as uncharacterized. Lineage: Eukaryota; Viridiplantae; Streptophyta; Magnoliopsida; Solanales; Solanaceae. The record is from RefSeq and is a predicted model, not a curated record. The transcript is spliced from 6 exons.
UAGUAUUUUUUAAUGUGAAGGUAAGUUAAAAUGAUAGAAGUAAAAGUCAUCAGUGAAGUAUAUGCCGAAAUCCCACGGUUGCAAAGUGUGAUUCCUCAGCUCUUAGAAAUUGGAUGAACAAAUUUUGGGGCAUCCGAAGUAUGCAGGGGUAAUUGCAGUCAUUGUGAUGUCAAACCCCCUUCCAAAAAUAAGGAGGAAACAGUGGGUCUGUUUGCAUAUUGUUUCUUUUUAAAUAAGAUGGUGUCCAGGCAGUUUUCGAGCAACUCAACUAAUUUCACCAGCAACAAUAUGCAUGUUGUUUUGUUAUCUGGAUUUUGUUCAUUUUCUUCAAUCCAAAAGGGCCAGGGAAGAGCCGGACCACAAGGGUCUAUCCUAUGCAGCCCCACCUUACCAUGGCUUGAACCCAUGACCUCCUGGUCACAUGACAACAACUUUGCUAGUUACUCCAUGGCUCCCCUUCGAAAAUGAAUUGAGGGGCAUUCCGAGAAUCCAUUCUCGUGAGCCUUUCAGUACCACCAAGAACAAACAGUUUGGAACUUUGAGAAAAUGGACUUUGGUUUGAAGAAUUUUGUGCUGUGGCUUCAUAGUGAUGUGUCUCUGAACAUUCUAAUGCGUUUGAAUGAUCCAGCUGAUGUGGUCUGUGCUGGUGCUGUUUCACGCCUUUGUCACUAAGCUGAUCUAGCAUGAGCAGUGCCACUAAAUCCACGAUAUUGAAUAUAUCUCGAAUUCAGAAAGAGGAAGGAGAAUCCUAAGGGCUAAUGCUUUUGAAUGAUCCAGCUGAUGUGGUCUGUGAUGGUGCUGUUUCACGCCUUUGGCGCCAAUUUGACCAGCAGCCGCUAUUGGAUUUAGAGGCGAUUAGAACUUCUAGAAUAUGAUAAAAAGUUCCCUACGCUGAAGAUGUUGAUUCUCCCUCUCCUUCUCCUUCCAUAUAGAUGCUUCCUUCAUUGACAUAAUAGGUAGCACACUCCUAAUGAUGUUAAUUUUCACAAAUGGUAAGUCAUAAAUUGCAUUUUGCUUUCUCUAUUUAGAGUCUUCUAUUCUUUUUCCCAUGUUCCCUAUACUUAAUGAGCCUAAUAGCUCAUAGUUGCGCUUUCCUUAUAUUCUUUCAUCAUUAUAGAUACUUGAAUAAAGAGGUUUACCAAUCAUAAAUAAUAAUUAAAGUGCCUUUCUGCUGUGAUAACAUUUCUUUGUGUGUAUCUAGAUCUAGGCUGAGCAAUGCCACAAAAUCCGCCAUAUGAAUAUACCUCAGAAAGAAGAAGGAGAAUCCUCUUAAGGGUAAAGCUAAUCCAAUCAUAAUCGGAUCUCUUUGAUUUGUUCUCAAUAUACACAACAACAACAACAACAACAAACCCAGUGUAUUCCCACCUAGUGGGGUCUGGGGGGGUAAGAUGUACGCAGUCCAUACCUCUACCUCUGAUGAAGUAGAAAGGCUAUUUCCGAUA